UCCCUGGUGGCUCAGAUGGUAAAGUGUCUGCCUGCCAUGCGGGAGACCCAGGUUUGAUCCCUGGGUUGGGAA
Bos taurus (domestic cattle) is the source of this 72-nucleotide non-coding RNA. Lineage: Eukaryota; Metazoa; Chordata; Mammalia; Artiodactyla; Bovidae. The record is from Rfam.